Long non-coding RNA from Bubalus bubalis (water buffalo), 1328 nucleotides. RefSeq lists it as uncharacterized. The record is from RefSeq and is a predicted model, not a curated record. Lineage: Eukaryota; Metazoa; Chordata; Mammalia; Artiodactyla; Bovidae. The transcript has 3 exons.
GAACUGAACUGAUACUGCAAUAAAAGUUAUGUGAAUGUAAUCUCUCUCAAAAUAUCUUACUGUACAAAUUGAAUGUCUCUUCCAUCUUAACUCGGCACUUACUACGUGUGGUGGCUCUAACUUCUGCAGUUUGAGGUGUGACAGCAAAACGAGCACGGAUUCCUUUUUCCCUUCUCACAAUUUCACGGAUAGAUUUGUUCUUUCUGUAGCUCCUAACAACCUCCGCAUAUGAUUUUUCCCACUUUCCUCAUUAAGUAGAAACCUUUCCCCUUUUCACUCAGAGCACUUCCGUCUUUGGUAUAUCCACCCGAAUCGCCAGCAUCACCACUCUUGCAUUUUGGGGACAUUACUAAAUAAAAGUGACUUGAACUCAAGCCCCAGAUUAUCACAGCUGUUGAUUUGAUACCCAGCCUGCUACAAAGUAACCAAUGGGCGGAUGUGCUGGACCUAGAGCUGAUCCGCUUCUGGGCGGAAUUUAAAACUUCGCGCGAUUUCAUCACACUGCUCAGUGGUGCGUGAUUUAAAACGUAAGGAUUGUUUAUUUCUGGAUUUGCUAUUUAAUAUUUCCUGUUCGUAGUUGACCGUGGGUAAUGGAAACCUCCGAGAGCCAAGCUUCAGAUCUUCUGCUGAUGCCUGAAACACUUAAACUGGCCACACACAUCUGUGUUCUAAGAUCCGAGAUUGAACAUGGAAGAUCCUUCAUAUUGUGUGCCUAGAUGCUUUCACCCGUGAGGAGGCAUGGUUAGCCUGGGAUCUCCAUCUUCAACAGAGAUGCUCCAGAUAAACUCUUCUUUUAAGUAGAGUUUGGUCUAUACUGCAGGUACAAUUUUGUUGUCAGCUUAAAUCCAAUAAGUAAUCAAUCCAGUGUUGAGUAAGCAUCUCCAUGGGGAGGAAAGUGUGCUGGAUGGUGAUGGAAGAAGACUGUCUCUGUACAUAUCAUGUAAAACAUCUCACUGCAGUUUAACAAUUACACAGGCAUGCACGCUAAGUCGCUUCAGUCGUAUUUAACUCUUUGUGACUCUAUGGACUGUACUCACAUGCUUAAUUAAUUUGCUUUUUACCUUUACCUUGUGAAGCAAAUAUCCUUUUAUUACACUGAGACGUAAACUGAAACCAGGUCACAUAAGCAGUAAGUGCCAGAGAUGGGAUUUGAACCAAGACUUACCCACCAAUUCAGAUCUCCUGUUCACUUGCUGAUAAACAGGAGACCCUAGGUUCAUUUCCAGUGGUGCCUUGACUGAGCAUCCGGCUCUCUUUUGGGCUUCCCUGGUGGCUCAGAUGGUAAAGACUCUGCCUGCAAUGCAGGAGACCUGAGUCGGGAAGAUACC